AGUCGGAAUCCAUGCUGGCUAAGCAGUGUUGUCCACCACUUCCAUGGUUACAUGACAAGCAUUAGGUCUCGGCCCUGUUGCAUAUGAGCCAUAUCUACCGUUAAAGGUUGUGUGGUAAAUCUCAAUUUCAAUCUGUGGAAAUGAUAAACCUUUUGCAGACGACUUAACUGAAUCCAGGUAUUGUAAGUGCUGAGAGUAGCCUUUGUGCUACGAUCCACUGAAGUUCAUCCUGUGUUUUUCUGGUU
Molecule: ribosomal RNA, 245 nt
Filed under: Scrippsiella trochoidea
Lineage: Eukaryota; Dinophyceae; Peridiniales; Peridiniaceae
Description: partial Eukaryotic large subunit ribosomal RNA
Rfam family: Eukaryotic large subunit ribosomal RNA
Source: RNAcentral